Molecule: ribosomal RNA, 484 nt
Filed under: uncultured bacterium
Lineage: Bacteria
Description: partial 16S ribosomal RNA
Rfam family: Bacterial small subunit ribosomal RNA
Source: RNAcentral
AUUGAACGCUGGCGGCAUGCUUUACACAUGCAAGUCGAACGGCAGCGCGGGCUUCGGCCUGGCGGCGAGUGGCGAACGGGUGAGUAAUGCAUCGGAACGUGCCCAGUAGUUGGGGAUAGCCCGGCGAAAGCCGGAUUAAUACCGCAUACGACCUGAGGGUGAAAGCGGGGGACCGAAAGGCCACGCGCGAUUUGAGCGGCCGAUGUCGGAUUAGCUAGUUGGUGGGGUAAAGGCUUACCAAGGCGACGAUCCGUAGCUGGUCUGAGAGGACGACCAGCCACACUGGGACUGAGACACGGCCCAGACUCCUACGGGAGGCAGCAGUGGGGAAUUUUGGACAAUGGGGGCAACCCUGAUCCAGCCAUGCCGCGUGCGGGAAGAAGGCCUUCGGGUUGUAAACCGCUUUUGUUCGGGAAGAAAUACUCUGGGCUAAUACCCCGGGGGGAUGACGGUACCGGAAGAAUAAGCACCGGCUAACUACGUG